RNAcentral lists this ribosomal RNA (774 nucleotides) under uncultured Neocallimastigales. RNAcentral describes it as "partial large subunit ribosomal RNA". It matches the Rfam family "Eukaryotic large subunit ribosomal RNA", at positions 22 to 628 of the family's 3401-position model. The record is from RNAcentral. Lineage: Eukaryota; Fungi; Neocallimastigomycota; Neocallimastigomycetes; Neocallimastigales.
GUACACGCUGUGACUAGCAUAUCAAUAAGCGGAGGAAAAGAAACUAACAAGGAUUCCCCUAGUAACGGCGAGUGAAGCGGGAAGAGCUCAAAUUUGAAAUCUUAAAGGGUUUCCCUUUACGAAUUGUAGUUUAAAGAAGUGUUUUCUGUUGAGGUUUUGGUAAAAGUCCUUUGGAAUAGGACAUCAUAGAGGGUGAGAAUCCCGUAUUUGACCUUUACUUUCAACUUUGUGAUACACUUUCAAAGAGUCGGAUUGUUUGGGAAUGCAGUCCAAAAUGGGUGGUAAAUUUCAUCUAAAGCUAAAUAUUGGCGAGAGACCGAUAGCGAACAAGUACCGUGAGGGAAAGAUGAAAAGAACUUUGAAAAGAGAGUUAAACAGUACGUGAAAUUGUCAAAAGGGAAGCGUUUGACACCAGUGUUGUUUUUCUGAAAAUCAAUUAAAGAACUGUUUAUGCUAAGCUGUUUAGACUUUAUCAGCUAACUGUUUAGUUUUGAGCUUUUCUUUAAUGCACUUUUCAGUUAACAAGUCAACAUCAAUUUCUUUUGCUGUAAAAAAGCUUGAGGAAGGUGGCUUGAGAUUCGUCUUAAGUGUUUAUAGCCUCUUGCCUAUGCAGUCGGAGAGAUUGAGGUCUGCAGCGUAGAUCCUUCGGGGCUAAAUGCAUUUGUGCUAAGUUAUAGCAUUUUAUAGACAACUUGUUGACUAUGAUUUGUCUUGUAGCUUACUCGCUUAUGUUAUUUUACCUACGCUUAGGAUGUUGAGUCGUAGAGCACGCAG